UAUAUUUAUUCGUACGCUAUAAAUUCAUUAUUUUUUUAUUUAUUUUAGAAAAAUCUUCAAAUACCAUCCCUAUAGUUUCACACUUUCUCAUUUUAGUACCAUAUAGUUUAAAGUGUAUCAAUUUCGUGUCCCGUGGUAUCAAUAUAGUACAGAUAUAUUAUAUAUAUAUAGGAAAAACUUCAAAAACCCCCCCUGUGGUUUCGUGCAUUCUCACUUUGCUACCCUGUGGUUUAAAACGUAUCAAUUUAUCCCCCUGUGGUUUCGCUUUUAUCUUUUUGUUAUCAAUUUUAUUUUAUUUUUUUUUAAAAUCAGUGACAAAGUUAAAAUUAAAGGAUACUAAAGUGACUAUUCGAUAAAUAUAGAUGGUUAUCUGAAGUUUUUUGUAUAUAAUUUAACGAAAUAUUAACGAAAAAGCUUCCGAAAAGAUAAAAAUAAAACCACAUGGGGGUAAAUUGAUACGUUUUAAACCACAGGGUAGCAAAGUGAGAAUGCACGAAACCA
Molecule: long non-coding RNA, 501 nt
Filed under: Ananas comosus (pineapple)
Lineage: Eukaryota; Viridiplantae; Streptophyta; Magnoliopsida; Poales; Bromeliaceae
Description: long non-coding RNA (ACOM_LNC015387)
Source: RNAcentral